AAAGGAAUUGACGGGGACCCGCACAAGCGGUGGAGCAUGUGGUUUAAUUCGAAGCAACGCGAAGAACCUUACCAAGUCUUGACAUCCCAUUGACAGCGUAUGUAAUGUAUGUUCCCUUCGGGGCAAUGGAGACAGGUGGUGCAUGGUUGUCGUCAGCUCGUGUCGUGAGAUGUUGGGUUAAGUCCCGCAACGAGCGCAACCCUUAUCUUUAGUAGCCAGCAUGUUAUGGUGGGCACUCUAGAGAGACUGCCGGGGAUAACCCGGAGGAAGGUGGGGAUGACGUCAAAUCAUCAUGCCCCUUAUGAUUUGGGCUACACACGUGCUACAAUGGCGUAAACAGAGGGAGGCGAAAGGGUGACCUGGAGCAAAUCCCAAAAAUAACGUCCCAGUUCGGAUUGUAGUCUGCAACUCGACUACAUGAAGCUGGAAUCGCUAGUAAUCGCAGAUCAGAAUGCUGCGGUGAAUACGUUCCCGGGUCUUGUACACACCGCCCGU
Molecule: ribosomal RNA, 495 nt
Filed under: uncultured bacterium
Lineage: Bacteria
Description: bacterial SSU rRNA
Rfam family: Bacterial small subunit ribosomal RNA
Source: RNAcentral